Molecule: long non-coding RNA, 378 nt
Organism: Onychostoma macrolepis
Lineage: Eukaryota; Metazoa; Chordata; Actinopteri; Cypriniformes; Cyprinidae
Exons: 3
Source: RefSeq, a predicted model, not a curated record
GAUGUGCGUGCAAAUGUCCCUUGAAUGUGAAUAUAAGUCUAAAUUUAAACAGUUAUAUUAUAUAGAGCGAUCGUGUCUCUUUAGGGCGCUUGGAGGAAACCACGCAAUUCAUAUGGAUUACUUUGGCGAUGUUUUUUUGCGAUGACCUUUUUGAAACGUGAACAUCUUAGAUGAAUCUUUUCAUCGGAGGGACAUCUCUCAGAUUUCAUUAAAAUAUCUUCGCUUUUCUUUCGAAGAUGAACGAAAGUCUUGGUUUGUAGCAUCUUAAGGCUUCUGCGAGCGUGUAUGGCGUCUGGCUUCAGAACCUCACUGUGACUUCAGAUAAGAAUGAUAAGAAAGAUUAAAUUGUAAGAAGGGUUACUUAUAAAAGCAUACAGU